GCUGAUGAUACCACCACCAAGAAAUCAUCACCAUUAAUAUUUUGGCUUUUUUGUUUUCAGAUUUUUUCCAUUAUGAAAUUGUUGAUAUUUGAUCCUUUUGACCUAUAAAAAUGUUAAUAUCAUAUAGCUUACUCGAACAUAUCCAAAUAAUGUCAUAUAUAUUAUUUUAUGUACCAAAAAGCAUACUAAACAGAUUGUUUUAUAGCUUACUUUUCUCAUUUUUAACAUUAUAAUUUAAGCAUUUGUUCAUAAUAUUAAAACUUUUUGAAAACAUUAUUAUGAAUGACUAUUUCAAUAUGUGGAUGUACCACAACUUACCUAAUGAUUUACCUACUGGUAAUCAUUGAGUUGGACUGGUUGGACAUGAGUUGUUUCUAAUUUGUCGCUAUUACAAAUAAUGCUCUGAUAAAUAUGUAUAAUUAAUUUGUGUUUCAGAUUAUUUUUAUUUCUAGAAAUGAGAUUCUUGGUUAUAGGCUAAAUAUAUUUUCUUGUUUUUUUUUUUUUUGUUCAUUUGUUUGUUUGAGAUGGAGUCUCUCUGUCACCCAGACUGGAAUGCAGUGGCAUGAUCUUGGUUCACUGAAACCUCUGCCUUUCUGGUUCAAGCAAUUCUCAUGUUUCAGCCUCCCAGGCAACGUGUUGGACCUUCCGGAGCUUCUCAGAAGACAGAGGGUUUUCUUUUGAGGUAAAUUUGAUAGUACAUUUUGAUAGUACAGGAGGCGAUACGGCAUGGUGACAGAAAAGCGCCGGCUUGGUUAGCGGGACCACCUGGCAGGGCUGCAGGCUGUGCCACUUACCAGGCAGGGGACCUUGGGCCAGCUGCUUGGCCUCACUCACCCUGUUUCCUCAGCUGCAAUUGGGAUGAACAGACUGCCUGCUUCGGGGUUGCCUAAAACUCACAUUGCUUAAUGAUGUGAAAUGCUUAGCGCAGUGCCUGGCAUAGAGAGAAUUCUCAUUAGAUGAUACCUCAGCUGGGCUUUAGGAGCUACAGAAGAAGCUGCAUCUCCAUGAGCUCAGCGUGUUUCUAGCUUUCCUUUUUGUUUUCUAUUCAACCUUUCACCCAACUCAGCUUCUCAAUCCCUAAAUGACAAAGGUUUGGGAAGGAAGACUUGGACCGAUGCUUGCAUUUGUUUCUGAGAAUUAAACGUUAUGUUUUCUUCAAUCCAAAUAGGUUUGCUUGUACAGCCUUGUUCAAUGGUUUUUUUUUUUUUUUUCUCCAUGAUAAAUGACUCUCAACUUCUUUUCCCUCAUUUAAUUGCUUAUCUACAUACAAUGCCUGGAAGGAAAUAAAUGUAAUGGCCCGUAGCAGUUGGCCUUCAGAUAUCAAGUUUAAGUCCCUUUAAGCAGAACAGCAAAUUGAGCACAGAAUGAACUGGUUUCAUGGUAGCGUACUGCAAUUAGAUGCAAGAAUAGGGAAAGCAGGGUGCUUCAAUUGGUGACACAAUUAGUAUAGCACUGGGGGACUUCUCUUUCCACUUCUUCAACUCCGCCUGCAUUCCGCUGGCUGAAGAGUUGAUGACAUCCCUGAAAAAUCUUCCCUCUCUUGUUUCUCUGAUGCCACCUCUGUGUUCUCCGCCUCACUGGCCACACUUCCUUUACCUCCCAAACUUUUAACUCUGAGUGUCCCAAACUUGUCUCAUCACCUACCCCUGCUGCCCAGCUCCCCAGCCUGUUCCCCUUCUGACACGGGCACUCUCCUUCUGCUGUCUUGGGAGAGAAACAAUGAAGGCCUAGUUGGCACUUUUAUUUCUAUUCAAGGAACCAGACUGUGAACAAGUUUACCAUUUAGUCCUUUGGACUGUGUCUUGAAUUCAUCCCUCUUCUCCAUUCUCACCAGCACCAUCAUCAUGAUGGCUAAUAUUUCCUGAGCACCUUUCAUCCAGGCAUGAUGCCAGGUGCACCAACUUACUUAAUCCUCAUAGCCACCACCUGAGCAAGCUCCUGUUUUAUAAAUGGACCAGUUCUUGUUGCUAUUGUACAAGUUAUUUUCUUUCUAUAACGUCCUCCUUGUCCUCCUUCCACAUUCUUAAAGAAACUUGCCCUUCCUUUAAAGUACUCAGGGAGCCCUGCAUUGCUUCUUGAAGCCUUCUCCAGCUUCAUCAUCUCACAGUGGUCUCUCUUUUCACUAAAUGUCCAAUAUGCUGCACAUAAGUACCCCAAAGUUAGCACAGAAUUGUUCCAUGGCUGUCAUAUAUGUUAAAAAUCAUUAAAAGUUCAUUUUUUCUCUCA
Molecule: long non-coding RNA, 2226 nt
Filed under: Homo sapiens (human)
Lineage: Eukaryota; Metazoa; Chordata; Mammalia; Primates; Hominidae
Description: NUTM2A antisense RNA 1
Source: RNAcentral